Molecule: ribosomal RNA, 274 nt
Filed under: uncultured bacterium
Lineage: Bacteria
Description: partial 16S ribosomal RNA
Rfam family: Bacterial small subunit ribosomal RNA
Source: RNAcentral
AUACAGAGGGUGCGAGCGUUAAUCGGAAUUACUGGGCGUAAAGCGCGCGUAGGCGGUCUAUUAAGUCAGAUGUGAAAUCCCAGGGCUCAACCUUGGAACUGCAUCUGAUACUGGUAGACUAGAGUUUUGGAGAGGGAAGUAGAAUUUCAGGUGUAGCGGUGAAAUGCAUAGAGAUCUGAAGGAAUACCAGUGGCGAAGGCGACUUCCUGGCCAAAAACUGACGCUGAGGUGCGAAAGCGUGGGUAGCAAACGGGAUUAGAUACCCCUGUAGUCC